Long non-coding RNA from Brassica napus (rape), 1614 nucleotides. RefSeq lists it as uncharacterized. The transcript is spliced from 2 exons. The record is from RefSeq and is a predicted model, not a curated record. Lineage: Eukaryota; Viridiplantae; Streptophyta; Magnoliopsida; Brassicales; Brassicaceae.
ACGCGUGGUUCUGCGUUUCGCGUUUGGAUUUUCUUGUGACUAUUUUACGUACAACAGGAGAUUCCCAUCUCAACAUAUCUUUCACCGAAGAAACUCGGUCACCGUCAUUACCACCGCUGAUCUCGCGUUUCUUACGCUUCUAGCAGCAUCGACGCGGUUCUCGCCGGUAUGUUGACGAAAACUGCGUUUUUGCUCCGGUUCGGCGACUUAGGUUCGAAGAGUGGAGAUUUCUUUUGGUCAGGCGAUUCACGCAGGGAGAAGAAACAGGCAUUGCGACAGAAACGCGAAGGAAGUCCAGCGUUUUGAGAGAUGGCUCUUCGUUUCUUGACCUGUAAAUGCGUUGCUGGAGGAUUGAUUUGGCAACGUCGGUCGGAGAUGUAACUCUGAAGUUGAAACGGUUCUUGGUCUUCUUCAAGAAGAUCUUUUAAGUGUCUCUGAGACGCCAUUCUAUCAAGUAUUCAGACAACAACAAAGUAAGAAGAAGACAAGACAAAUGUUUCAAGUCUUUCAGUUUGUAACUAAAGAGAAAGUGUUGUGUUUGAACUCUGCUAGAGAUAGAGAGAUUGUGAUGGUGAUUCAAAAAAUGCAGAUGGUUAAGAAGAUCGAGGCAAAGGGUAGGAGCUUGUAGGUAGGAGCUAGGAAGAAACAAAACACAAAUUAUAAAAAUUAAUUUUAUUUUUGUCUAGGUUUUUUUGUUUGUUGUGUAAUGGGUGAUUUAAGAGCACACCAUCAAAAAUAAAAGUAUUUUAAAAUUCAUAAGGCAACCUCAAUGUUAUACCAGCCAUGAACACAAAAACAUUUAUUUAAUGGAAUUGGUCCCCUUUGUAUUUAAUUCCUCUUUGUUAUUUAUUAUUUUCAUGCCCGCAAUUAUUUCACUUCUAGUUAUUUUUUAUUUAUAUUUCGAUGAGUGAUUUCUUUUGUUUCAUCUCUCUGUGUUUUAUGUAUAAAUAGAUACAAAACAAAAAAAAAUCUAGGGAGCGUUUGUUUCGAUAAUAGCAUGGAAUAGUUGUUUUCAUUUUUCACAUUUGCGUGAAACUCUUUUUUUUUCCUUCAGAGGCAAAAGCGUUGACGAUCACAAAGAGGAAAGAAAAUAAGUAUAUUUUAAAAAUUAGGGCUAACUAAAAGAAAUAGUGAAAGAGAUUAAUACAAACGACAAAAGAUAAAAACACGCAUUCCCAAUUUAUUAUAGGAGCUGGAUAUUGACUGCAUCUGCUUCUUUGACGACCCUUUACUUCUCACCUUCAUGUUAAAAAUAAUUUAGUCUUUGUCUGAAACUUCACACGAAUAAAAUUAAAUUACACUGAAUGGUGUUUUUAAGUUAGAAGACUCUACGCUGAUAGUUUAAGCUUCGAUGCGUAAAAUAUGUUUCUGUUGGCAAAUAAAUAACAAAAAACUAUAACUAUAACUUAAUUAUAGUAAGAAGUUUAAAAACAAUAAAAAAUCUGUGAAGCAUAUUAAGUUUCAAAUUAUGUGGAGCAUAUCAACAAAUUUAUGUAACUAUCCGUUUGGCGUUACAUAUAAAUUAAUGAAUUUUAAGUAGAGAAUGAACUAAUUUAAUAUGUUGAUAGACUCUUUGUGUAACUUGUUGAUUAUAAAAAAAAAACUACAUAUAUA